This 404-nucleotide ribosomal RNA is filed under the name uncultured bacterium. Its description in RNAcentral is "bacterial SSU rRNA". It matches the Rfam family "Bacterial small subunit ribosomal RNA", at positions 355 to 776 of the family's 1533-position model. The record is from RNAcentral.
UGGGGAAUAUUGGACAAUGGGGGCAACCCUGAUCCAGCAAUACCGCGUGAGUGAAGAAGGCCUUCGGGUUGUAAAGCUCUUUUACCGGGGAAGAUAAUGACGGUACCCGGGGAAUAAGCUCCGGCUAACUUCGUGCCAGCAGCCGCGGUAAUACGAAGGGAGCUAGCGUUGUUCGGAAUUACUGGGCGUAAAGAGCGCGUAGGCGGCUAUGUAAGUCAGAUGUGAAAGCCCCGGGCUCAACCUGGGAACUGCAUUUGAUACUGCAAGGCUAGAGAUCGAGAGAGGAAAGUGGAAUUACGAGUGUAGAAGUGAAAUUCGUAGAUAUUCGUAGGAACACCAGUGGCGAAGGCGACUUUCUGGCUCGAUACUGACGCUAAAGCGCGAAAGCGUGGGGAGCAAACAGG